RNAcentral lists this microRNA (21 nucleotides) under Ciona intestinalis (vase tunicate). Its description in RNAcentral is "cin-miR-4106-3p". The record is from miRBase by way of RNAcentral. Lineage: Eukaryota; Metazoa; Chordata; Ascidiacea; Phlebobranchia; Cionidae.
UAAAAUAUUGGUUUAGUUUUU